Molecule: long non-coding RNA, 539 nt
Organism: Sinocyclocheilus grahami
Lineage: Eukaryota; Metazoa; Chordata; Actinopteri; Cypriniformes; Cyprinidae
Exons: 3
Source: RefSeq, a predicted model, not a curated record
GCGGCCGCGUAAUUAGUAGCUUCAUGCAACAUUUUUAUUUAGGCUACUUUGUAACAGCACUUCCCUUACACCUGUCUCCCAGUGCUGGAUAUUGCGCAACAGCUGUGAAACACUGAUUACCACAUGUGAGGAAAACCGUUUACACUGUCCGUCCCUGGAUCACGAUGCUUCCAGACUUCCUGUUUUGGGGCCCGACUUACUGUGCAUGCUCAGAAGGAGAGAGCGGUUGAUGGUGAGGGAGGAAAUCUUGCUGAGAGAAAUAUGAGGUUUUCAGUCGAGGCAGUGAAGCACUUUGAGAUACGACAGAACCUCAAGCUGGCAACCUACAAAUGACCUCAAGUAUACACUUUUUAAAAUAAAGCUUCCAAUAGCGGUUUUUGCAGCGAUGGUGAAGAAGAUUUUGGAAUCCCCAAAGAAUCUUUCAGUGAACAAUUCUUGAAAGAACCAUUUUUUUAUAGUGUGAAAACCGUUUUAAUAAUCUAAGGAACCUUUUCCAUGAUAAGAACCCUUUAUCCAAAGAUUCCAGGUUAUUUGUGGAA